RNAcentral lists this ribosomal RNA (389 nucleotides) under Stramenopiles sp. MAST-1C. RNAcentral describes it as "partial small subunit ribosomal RNA". It matches the Rfam family "Eukaryotic small subunit ribosomal RNA", at positions 582 to 975 of the family's 1831-position model. The record is from RNAcentral.
AUUCCAGCUCCAAUAGCGUAUAUUAAUGUUGUUGCAGUUAAAAAGCUCGUAGUUGGAUUUCUGGUGGGAGCGGCCGGUCCGCCGUAAGGUGUGUACUUGGUUGUCUCCUGUCAUCCUUGUGGGAACUGCUCUGGCAUUAAGUUGUCGGGGUUAGGGAACACAUCGUUUACUGUGAAAAAAUUAGAGUGUUUAAAGCAGGCUUAUGCCGUUGAAUACAUUAGCAUGGAAUAAUAAGAUAGGACUUUGGCGUCUAUUUUGUUGGUUUGCACACCAAGGUAAUGAUUAAUAGGGAUAGUUGGGGGUAUUCGUAUUUAAUUGUCAGAGGUGAAAUUCUUGGAUUUAUGAAAGACGAACUUCUGCGAAAGCAUUUACCAAAGAUGUUUUCAUCG